UGUUUGGCCUUGUCGAAAAUGAGGCAAUGAAUUGGAUAAUAACCCGGGGAGACCUAGGUUAUAUACCUGUUAUUCAUUGAGGUUUCACAGUAUUUCCGUUGGACAUGUAUCGGGCUCCGGUGAAACUCUUGGCAUACUUAAUAAAGACAAAUGCCAAAAAAUAAAGUUGGCAUUGGGUGCAGUUGGCACACCAACAAGGGUGCAGUAUUAAGAGGGUGUAUUCAAGUAGGAUUUCAUAGAUUAUUUUUAAUCUAUGAAUUUUAAGAAAUUGUAUCUGAUUUGAGUUUGUAUGGUUUUUUGAUAAAAUAUGG
Molecule: long non-coding RNA, 311 nt
Filed under: Daucus carota (carrot)
Lineage: Eukaryota; Viridiplantae; Streptophyta; Magnoliopsida; Apiales; Apiaceae
Description: long non-coding RNA (DCAR_LNC007118)
Source: RNAcentral